This 1418-nucleotide ribosomal RNA is filed under the name Candidatus Viridilinea mediisalina. RNAcentral describes it as "Bacterial large subunit ribosomal RNA". It matches the Rfam family "Bacterial large subunit ribosomal RNA", at positions 509 to 1999 of the family's 2925-position model. Lineage: Bacteria; Bacillati; Chloroflexota; Chloroflexia; Chloroflexales; Oscillochloridaceae. The record is from Rfam by way of RNAcentral.
GAAAGGUGAAAAGCACCCCGAACAGGGGAGUGAAAUAGUACCUGAAACCGUGCGCCUACAAGCGGUCGGAGCCAAUUUAUUUGGUGACGGCGUGCCUUUUGCAUAAUGAGCCUACGAGUUAUUCCUUACCAGCGAGGUUAAGUGCGUAAUAAGCACGGAGCCGAAGCGAAAGCGAGUCUUAACAGGGCGCCAGAGUUGGUAGGGAUAGACGCGAAACCUUGUGAUCUACCCAUGGUCAGGUUGAAGCUGUGGUAACACACAGUGGAGGACCGAACCAGUAAACGUUGAAAAGUUUUUGGAUGAACUGUGGGUAGGGGUGAAAGGCUAAUCAAACUGGGAAAUAGCUCGUACUCCCCGAAAUGCAUUUAGGUGCAGCCUUAUAAUAGUUUUGCAGAGGUAGAGCUACUGAUAGGACGCGAGGGCUUCAUCGCCUAUCAACUCCUGACAAACUCCGAAUGCUGCAAAAUGUUUUAUAGGAGUGAGGGCAUGGGUGCUAAGGUCCAUGUCCGAAAGGGAAAGAACCCGGACCAUCAGCUAAGGUCCCCAAGUAUAUGCUAAGUUGAAGCAAACGCGGUAUGGCUGCAGAGACAGCUAGGAUGUUGGCUUGGAAGCAGCCAUUCAUUUAAAGAGUGCGUAACAGCUCACUAGUCGAGCGGCCGUGCAUGGAUAAUAAUCGGGCAUAAGCAUAUCACCGAAGCUAUGGAUUGUUAAUUUAUUAACAGUGGUAGGGGAGCAUUCCAAACAGCGCAGAAGCAUUAUCGUGAGGUAUUGUGGAGUGUUUGGAAAAGCAAAUGUAGGCAUAAGUAACGAUAAAACGGGUGAGAAACCCGUUCGCCGAAAGACCAAGGUUUCCUGAUCAACGCUAAUCGGAUCAGGGUUAGUCGGGACCUAACGCGAACCCGAAAGGGGUAGUGGAUGGAAAGCAGGUUAAUAUUCCUGCACCUGUCAUACAAUAAAAGUGACGUGGGAUCGAGGUGCCUGGGGGCUGACGGAAUAGCCCGCUGAGCUUAGGCUACGGCCGAAGCGAAGGUAAGCAGAUUCUACCGAGAAAAGCGAGUAUGGCAGCUCGUACCGUAAACGGACACACGUAGUUGGGUUGAGUAUACUAAGGCGCUCGAGUGAUUCAUGGCUAAGGAACUAGGCAAAUUAACCCUGUAACUUCGGGAGAAAGGGUCCCUGCUCUUAACUGAGUAGGGCGCAGAGAAAUGGCCCAGGCGACUGUUUAUCAAAAACACAUGGCUUUGCUAAAUCGAAAGAUGAUGUAUAAGGCCUGACACCUGCCCGGUGCUGGAAGGUUAAGAGGAGAUGUUAUCUUCGGAGAAGCAUUGAAUUGAAGCCCCAGUAAACGGCGGCCGUAACUAUAACGGUCCUAAGGUAGCGAAAUUCCUUGUCGGGUAAGUUCCGACCUGCACGAAUGG